UUAACCUGGUUGAUCCUGCCAGUAGUCAUAUGCUUGUCCCAAAGAUUAAGCCAUGCAUGUCUAAGUAUAAAUCGUUAUACGGUGAAACUGCGAAUGGCUCAUUAAAUCAGUUAUAAUUUAUUUGAUGGUUUCUUUACUACUUGGAUAACCGUGGUAAUUCUAGAGCUAAUACAUGCAAAAAGCCCGACUCACGA
This 194-nucleotide ribosomal RNA is filed under the name uncultured eukaryote. RNAcentral's name for it is "partial 18S ribosomal RNA". It matches the Rfam family "Eukaryotic small subunit ribosomal RNA", at positions 1 to 192 of the family's 1831-position model. The record is from RNAcentral.